Molecule: non-coding RNA, 113 nt
Organism: Acanthosepion pharaonis
Lineage: Eukaryota; Metazoa; Mollusca; Cephalopoda; Sepiida; Sepiidae
Source: the annotation of a GenBank genome assembly
UUACGGCCAUAUCAGGUUGAAAAACUGGUUCUCGUACGAUCACCCAAGUUAAGCAACGCCGAGCUUGGUCAGUACCUAGAUGGGUGACCUCUUGGAAAUUCCAGGUGCAGUAA